CACAGAGGAAUAGAUGCCAGCACUCUGGGACUAUCUGAAAGAAGAUACUGAAUAUCAGAGCAGAGUAUUUUUAACCACCAGUCUUGUAAGCCUAUACCUGGUGUAUACAAAGUUCUAGCUUGUUCUGCCAAUGUCAGCUGUGGCAGACGCUUCAAGAGAAGAGCUGCUGGGCUAACACAUCAAGUCAGAAGACACAUUCAAAAAUAGAAAGCUCUACCCUUGAACUAUGAACUCUGCGGAGGUUUAAAGCCUUUCAAUCUGGAAUCUUGAAGUAUGGACUAGAAAAAUGUGAACACUAGAAACCAGUUACUCUGUGUGCUUUCAGGAUGAGCUCAAGGUUUCUAACGGUGUUAACCUGAGCUUGUGUAGAACAAGGCUAAAGAAGGAAGCGAGAGGGCUAGAAAGAAGCUGAAAGUCACAGAGGCGGGUCCUCAGCAGUGGAGUGGACUUUCAUCUCUGCACUGUGGCUGGCCUGGCUGAAACCACCCACGUCCCUCCUAACGGCAGGCACUAGAUGAGGAAUUGCAAUGCCAAAGGACAGAACUACGGGGGACAGGAUAUCCGCCAGCGGGAUCUCUGUGCCUGGAACAGAACAAGAUGAAGAUGUUUUUGUAUCUUGGACUUUGCAGAACAUACAGUUUGUUCUCUGCUCAAAAGAAACACUGUUACUAUAGAUUGCUAUUUUGUAUAGGGCACAUUAAAUCAAAGUGGUAAAGUGAGGUUUUCCUAUUGGUUCAUUCUAUCUGAUACACUUAAACAGAGAACAGAGAGAGAGAGAGAGACAGUUCAGCACACAGCAAGAUUUUCAGGUCUCCCAAGUGCAACAAUACACAAGAAGCAUGACUGAUUGGCUACAGGACUGCUCAGUGGAAAACCAUGUGCUUUAGUUUGUAUGCAGGAGGCCAUGGGAUGAUUCCUAGCACAAAGACAAUUCAAGCCUGUAACAGGAGACUGAGACAGAAGGACCUUUGAAUUUACAGGCUAGUUUGGGCUACAUAGUGAUACUGUCACAAGACCAAAAUAGAAAAAGAAACCUGACUAAUUGCACUCAUAGAUCCUAAAAUCUAAAAUGCGCUAGUAGCAAACUAGACUGUAUGCUGUAACAGCCAAUACAAGCAAAUCAGUAUCAAUAAGUGACCAGAGAUGAAGGACAGGGAUUUGCAGGUGACUUGACUUCCUUUCGCUUUUUCUGUAGUGAGUGUCACUAGCAUUACCUGGAUGCAGUGAUUAUCAAAGUUUCAGACUGCUGGAGUCAGCUUAACAGACAGUUGUGCUAAUAAUUCCAGGUGGAACAUUUUACAAGUUAGGCAAAUAAUGUAGUGUAUACUUGGUCCCAAGUCCAUUCCCCAAACCAGAGAUUUGGUUUCAACUUGUAGGGCUUCCAGCUCCAGUCCCACUGUAGUGUGUCCCGCUCACCUGCAGACCCCUCUUUCUGACACAGUUUCACUAUAUAGCCCUGGCCUGCCCCAAAUUUACCAUCCUCUUUCUUUAGCUUCCCAAGUGCUGGGAUUAUGGUGUGCCUUAUACCAUAUCUGAUUCUAGUCUUUCUUUUCCUUCUUCUUCUUCUAACUACUGUCAGCACAUUUCAGUUUUGCAUUUCUGCAUGUGACAAAGCUUAAGAGUUCUCAAGUGGUUCCCAUCUGCUUCUAUAAGAAUCCACCAAGUGAAUCAGUUGUUCUUUUAGAAUUCUAACAGUUUGACAAGAUAGACCUUGACCUUGGUGUGCUGAUAGCUGUUCCUGAGAAAGCUGCGUAUAAGAAUGUAGUGAUGUGAGGGCUGGAGAAAUGGCUCAGUGGUUAACCUCACUGGCUACUGCCGCAGAGGACUUGGGCUCUGUUCCCAGCACUCACGUGGCAGCUCACAACCAUCUGUAACUCCAGUUCCAGGGCAUCUGGUGUCCUCCUCUGAUCUCUCUAGGCAUCAGGCACACACAUGCAGGCAAAAUAUUCAUAUGUAUAAGUAACAGUGAUGCACAUAAAUAAACCUUUAAGAGUGGUAUUUCAAAAAUAAAAUGACAUUUAUUGUUUUCUCAAUAGGCUCAAGUAAUCCUGUACCUUAGGCUCCUGUAGUUUAAACUACAGGAGGGCAUGCCACAGCUGCUUAGAUUAUGGUGUUCUUAAUGCUGUCUCUAACCUAAAUUCCCAAUUAGAAGGGCAUGUGGAGAAAUAUGAAUAAGACAAUGUGAUGUGACAAGGUAGAGAAGACUACCACGAGUACAGAGGAUGUUUCAGGCUGCGGUAUCUACUUCCACCUACUUACAAGAAGGAGCUUACCAACAGAUUAUGCAACCCCUCAUCAACUGCAAGAUGAUUUUGUAUCUUUUGUACUCUAGUAGACUAAAAAAAAAAAAAAGGAAGGGAGAGAAGGCAAACAGCAUAUAAAACAAAAUGACAAGAUGACAAACAAGUCUGCCACAUCUGGGUGUUGUCAUACUUGUUUAAAAUUUAUAGCUUAAUGUUAAGGUAACUCUGAGGGUUUACAUGAGAGUACAUAGUCUGCCAGGCAUGGCAGCUCAUACACUCAGCUCCAGAACUCAGGAGGCAAGAACAGGCAGAUCUCUGAGUGUACAAGGCUAAAGCUACAUAGUAAAAUACUGUCUUAAAGAGGAGAGGGAGAGAGAGAGAGAGAGAGAGAGAGAGAGAGAGAGAGAGAGAGAGAGAGAGAGAGAGCAUAACGUUCAGACAAUGAAUGUACACCAAGAAAAAAAAAAUUUAACUACCUAUCCAGCAACACAACUAGUGCAGCAACAUUGGAAAGCAGCCUACUGCAGCAGGAGAAGCCUGCCACCUGCUGACAGAAGGCUGCAUCACGUAGUCGUUCCUGACUGAUGGGGGUGUGUAUUAGUCAGGCUUCUCUAGAGUCACAGAACUUAUGGAAUGUCUCUAUAUUGAGGGAAUUUAUUGUGAUGAUUUACAGUCUGUAGU
Molecule: long non-coding RNA, 2924 nt
Organism: Mus musculus (house mouse)
Lineage: Eukaryota; Metazoa; Chordata; Mammalia; Rodentia; Muridae
Product: predicted gene, 53332
Exons: 3
Source: RefSeq, a predicted model, not a curated record